This 409-nucleotide long non-coding RNA is filed under the name Solanum tuberosum (potato). Its description in RNAcentral is "long non-coding RNA (STUB_LNC004892)". The record is from RNAcentral. Lineage: Eukaryota; Viridiplantae; Streptophyta; Magnoliopsida; Solanales; Solanaceae.
CCAAGAUUAUUAGGCUAUUAUUAUUUUUAUUCUAUAGUUAAAGUAGAUGAAGAAGACUCUUGAAUUUUGAUAGGAUAUGGAAGGAAUCGAUAAGAACUCGGAGAGUUAUGUACUAAUUUUGUACUUAUUUUUUCAUCUAUAUAUGUAUCAGUCUUAUAAGAAUAAUGUCUACCUUGUAUUUUUUCUUAAAUCUGUUUCUUUUUGUCUUUUUUUUUCUCUAUUAGACUUCUUAAUUUAGUUUUCUAUGAAUGUUUUAUUGUCGUAAGUCUUUAUACUUAUUUUGUAAUUGUUGCAUUUUAUUGUUCAUUACAAUUUACAUAUAUAUAUUUUCAUGAAAUUUUAGUCAUUCUAACGUAUCUAUAAAAAUUCACAUGAAACACACGUGCGAAGCACGUGCUCAGAAACUAGU